AAGUUCUUAAAACACUAAAAGACUCAAAUGGGAACAAUAUAGAGAAGAGUAUAGUCCCUGCACAAAGAUGACAUGCAAAUUUAUGAAACGUUCCACAUAUUC
Small nuclear RNA from Otolemur garnettii (small-eared galago), 102 nucleotides. Lineage: Eukaryota; Metazoa; Chordata; Mammalia; Primates; Galagidae. The record is from Ensembl.